AACGAACGCUGGCGGCAGGCUUAACACAUGCAAGUCGAACGCGUGCAGCAAUGCACGCGUGGCGCACGGGUGAGUAACGAGUGGAUAUCUGCUUUGGUUCGGAAUAACCCCGGGAAACUGGGGCUAAUACCGGAUGGUUCCUACGGGAUAAAGAUUUAUCGCCAAAAGAUGAGUCCGCGUCCGAUUAGCUAGUUGGUGAGGUAAUGGCUCACCAAGGCGACGAUCGGUAGCUGGUCUGAGAGGACGAUCAGCCACACUGGGACUGAGACACGGCCCAGACUCCUACGGGAGGCAGCAGUGGGGAAUAUUGGACAAUGGGGGCAACCCUGAUCCAGCCAUGCCGCGUGAGUGAUGAAGGCCUUCGGGUUGUAAAGCUCUUUUGGCGGGGACGAUGAUGACGGUACCCGCAGAAUAAGCCCCGGCUAACUUCGUG
This 433-nucleotide ribosomal RNA is filed under the name uncultured bacterium. RNAcentral describes it as "partial 16S ribosomal RNA". It matches the Rfam family "Bacterial small subunit ribosomal RNA", at positions 29 to 507 of the family's 1533-position model. The record is from RNAcentral.